RNAcentral lists this ribosomal RNA (254 nucleotides) under uncultured bacterium. RNAcentral describes it as "partial 16S ribosomal RNA". It matches the Rfam family "Bacterial small subunit ribosomal RNA", at positions 524 to 776 of the family's 1533-position model. The record is from RNAcentral.
UACGUAGGGUGCGAGCGUUGUCCGGAAUUAUUGGGCGUAAAGAGCUCGUAGGCGGUGUGUCGCGUCGGCCGUGAAAACCUGGGGCUCAACUCUGGGCGUGCGGUCGAUACGGGCAUCACUAGAGUUCGGCAGGGGAGACUGGAAUUCCUGGUGUAGCGGUGAAAUGCGCAGAUAUCAGGAGGAACACCGGUGGCGAAGGCGGGUCUCUGGGCCGAUACUGACGCUGAGGAGCGAAAGCAUGGGUAGCGAACAGG